Molecule: ribosomal RNA, 412 nt
Filed under: uncultured microorganism
Description: bacterial SSU rRNA
Rfam family: Bacterial small subunit ribosomal RNA
Source: RNAcentral
GAGUUUGAUCGUGGCUCAGAGUGAACGCUGGCGGUAGGCCUAACACAUGCAAGUCGAACGGCAGCACAGUAAGAGCUUGCUCUUAUGGGUGGCGAGUGGCGGACGGGUGAGGAAUACAUCGGAAUCUACUUUUUCGUGGGGAUAACGUAGGGAAACUUACGCUAAUACCGCAUACGACCUACGGGUGAAAGCAGGGGAUCUUCGGACCUUGCGCGAUUGAAUGAGCCGAUGUCGGAUUAGCUAGUUGGCGGGGUAAAGGCCCACCAAGGCGACGAUCCGUAGCUGGUCUGAGAGGAUGAUCAGCCACACUGGAACUGAGACACGGUCCAGACUCCUACGGGAGGCAGCAGUGGGGAAUAUUGGACAAUGGGCGCAAGCCUGAUCCAGCCAUACCGCGUGGGUGAAGAAGGCC